CUGAUAGGUCGAAUUGGAUAGGCAAAAAUAUUUAGUGCGGGUAGGCAAAAGUUAGGAGUGAGGUGUUGAUUCAAUGCGGUGAAUGUUGAAAUGUGUGUUGAAUGGUUUUGUUUUAUCACUUUUGGAUCAAUUGUACUAUUUGGCCGAGGAAUGCCCCGAAGUAUCUGUAUAUCUUUAUUCACCGGGGAAUGCCCUGAGGUAUUUUGUACUCGAAGGACGUUCGUGAUGAAGGCCCGAGGCGUCG
RNAcentral lists this long non-coding RNA (244 nucleotides) under Capsicum annuum. RNAcentral describes it as "long non-coding RNA (CANN_LNC012120)". Lineage: Eukaryota; Viridiplantae; Streptophyta; Magnoliopsida; Solanales; Solanaceae. The record is from RNAcentral.